UCGAGAAUCUUCCGCAAUGGGCGCAAGCCUGACGGAGCGACGCCGCGUGGAGGACGAAGGCCUUUGGGUUGUAAACUCCUGUCACGGGUUAUGAAUGCGCGUAUGCGAAUAGUGUGCGCGUUGACGUCAGCCCGAGAGGAAGCACCGGCUAACUCUGUGCCAGCAGCCGCGGUAAUACAGAGGGUGCAAACGUUGUUCGGAAUCACUGGGCAUAAAGCGCGCGUAGGCGGCUCUGUCAGUGUGAAGUGAAAUCCCACGGCUCAACCGUGGAACUGCUUUGCAUACUGCAGGGCUCGAGGACGGUAGGGGAGAGCGGAACUCCUGGUGGAGCGGUGAAAUGCGUAGAUAUCAGGAGGAACACCGGUGGCGAAGGCGGCUCUCUGGUCCGUUUCUGACGCUGAGGUGCGAAAGCCAGGGUAGCGAACGGGAUUAGAUACCCGUGUAGUCC
This 448-nucleotide ribosomal RNA is filed under the name uncultured prokaryote. Its description in RNAcentral is "bacterial SSU rRNA". It matches the Rfam family "Bacterial small subunit ribosomal RNA", at positions 355 to 796 of the family's 1533-position model. The record is from RNAcentral.